RNAcentral lists this ribosomal RNA (431 nucleotides) under uncultured bacterium. RNAcentral's name for it is "bacterial SSU rRNA". It matches the Rfam family "Bacterial small subunit ribosomal RNA", at positions 29 to 506 of the family's 1533-position model. The record is from RNAcentral.
ACGAACGCUGGCGGCAUGCCUAACACAUGCAAGUCGAACGAAGGCUUCGGCCUUAGUGGCGCACGGGUGCGUAACGCGUGGGAACCUGCCCCUCGGUUCGGAAUAACAGUUAGAAAUGACUGCUAAUACCGGAUGAUGACUUCGGUCCAAAGAUUUAUCGCCGAGGGAUGGGCCCGCGUAGGAUUAGCUUGUUGGUGGGGUAAAGGCCUACCAAGGCGACGAUCCUUAGCUGGUCUGAGAGGAUGAUCAGCCACACUGGGACUGAGACACGGCCCAGACUCCUACGGGAGGCAGCAGUGGGGAAUAUUGGACAAUGGGCGAAAGCCUGAUCCAGCAAUGCCGCGUGAGUGAUGAAGGCCUUAGGGUUGUAAAGCUCUUUUACCCGGGAUGAUAAUGACAGUACCGGGAGAAUAAGCUCCGGCUAACUCCGU